AUACGGAGGGGGCUAGCGUUGUUCGGAAUUACUGGGCGUAAAGCGCACGUAGGCGGCUUUGUAAGUUAGAGGUGAAAGCCCAGGGCUCAACCCUGGAAUUGCCUUUAAGACUGCAUCGCUUGAACAUCGGAGAGGUAAGUGGAAUUCCGAGUGUAGAGGUGAAAUUCGUAGAUAUUCGGAAGAACACCAGUGGCGAAGGCGACUUACUGGACGAUUGUUGACGCUGAGGUGCGAAAGCGUGGGGAGCAAACA
This 252-nucleotide ribosomal RNA is filed under the name uncultured prokaryote. RNAcentral's name for it is "partial 16S ribosomal RNA". It matches the Rfam family "Bacterial small subunit ribosomal RNA", at positions 523 to 774 of the family's 1533-position model. The record is from RNAcentral.